This 1000-nucleotide long non-coding RNA is filed under the name Equus caballus (horse). RNAcentral describes it as "lncRNA (ENSECAG00000050495.1)". Lineage: Eukaryota; Metazoa; Chordata; Mammalia; Perissodactyla; Equidae. The record is from RNAcentral.
CUGGUCCCCUCCGCCUACCGGUCCUGGGCGCGCAGGGGGAGCCAGCGGCCCUUGCAGACUCCAGGCUGCUGGCCGUUGAAGUCAUAAAGCAGGCAUUGUUUGACAGGGUGGCUGGAAGCAGGGCUGUCUCAAGUCGAGCUAUGACAACCGACAAGACUGUGGAAAACAGUCAACAAAUUGCAACCGUCCUCCAGAGACUUCCUGAAUUCCCUCGGAGAUUACCUUCUUGAGAACAAAACAAAUGUCUACAACAAACAAGAGGUCCAGAGGCAGCCAGUCCAGGGCUGGGGAAGACAUUGGAUGAUGCUGUCAAGGGGUCAGGAUCUUCUACUCUUGUGGUGCCAUCUUCAGCUGGUGGUUCUCCUCAUGGCCCCUGGAGAGCUGCCGCCCCUUUGGACAUUACAUCUGCAUUCCAGAAGGAAGAAGAAAACAGGGCAAUGCGUGAAAGGGCACACCGGCUGACUUUCCCUUUCUGCCAUGUGAGUGAAAGCUCUCCUGGAAGUUGCAACCAGAAUUUUCCUACUGGCAUCUCACUGACCGAAACGAUGCUCCAUAACGACCUCAGGCUGGAAGGGGGUUUUCCCACUCACUUGAACAUAUAAUCUUUACUAUGUGAUAAAUUCUGGACUUCUGCUGGAGAAGGCCAUCGAGAGGACAUGACUGCCGAUCAACCCUCAAGCUGGACCUGGGCAAUCCUCACCCUCCUCUGUCCUUGGAAUGUAUGUUCUGCCCACUGUUCCCCCAUGGGAGCCAUUUUCAAGGAUGCAGCUUUGAGAGAGCAAUGUGUUGUUGAGAUCAUCUGGAAGGUGUGUGUGACUGACCCCGUUAAAGCCUCUAUGUAAACUUUUAAGAUUCUGGCUGGCAGGUGUGGAGAUCGAUUCAUCUUGCAGCCGCCCAAGACAAGUCUCAUAGGUCAAUUCCCUUGCUGAUUAAACCUGCCACCUUCCAGUCUGGAGUGGCUGCCUCUUUCUGUGGUCUCUCCUUGCCUUCCAUGUACGGG